CAGCCGCCACGGUAAUACAGAGGGUGCGAGCGUUAAUCGGAUUUACUGGGCGUAAAGCGUGCGCAGGCGGUUAUAUAAGACAGAUGUGAAAUCCCCGGGCUCAACCUGGGAACUGCAUUUGUGACUGUAUAGCUAGAGUACGGCAGAGGGGGAUGGAAUUCCGCGUGUAGCAGUGAAAUGCGUAGAUAUGCGGAGGAACACCGAUGGCGAAGGCAAUCCCCUGGGCCUGUACUGACGCUCAUGCACGAAAGCGUGGGGAGCAAACAGGAUUAGAUACCCGUGUAGUCCCUGUCUCUUAUAC
RNAcentral lists this ribosomal RNA (301 nucleotides) under uncultured bacterium. Its description in RNAcentral is "partial 16S ribosomal RNA". It matches the Rfam family "Bacterial small subunit ribosomal RNA", at positions 509 to 807 of the family's 1533-position model. The record is from RNAcentral.